RNAcentral lists this ribosomal RNA (117 nucleotides) under Oncorhynchus mykiss (rainbow trout). The record is from RNAcentral. Lineage: Eukaryota; Metazoa; Chordata; Actinopteri; Salmoniformes; Salmonidae.
GCUUACGGCCACACCGGCCUGAGUACCUGAUCUCGUCCGAUCUCGGAAGCUAAGCAGGGUCGGGCCUGGUUAGUACUUGGAUGGGAGACCGCCUGGGAAUACCAGGUGCUGUAAGCU